This is a transfer RNA of Culex pipiens (northern house mosquito), 82 nucleotides long. It matches the Rfam family "tRNA". From Rfam's summary of the family: Transfer RNA (tRNA) molecules are approximately 80 nucleotides in length. Their secondary structure includes four short double-helical elements and three loops (D, anti-codon, and T loops). Further hydrogen bonds mediate the characteristic L-shaped molecular structure. tRNAs have two regions of fundamental functional importance: the anti-codon, which is responsible for specific mRNA codon recognition, and the 3' end, to which the tRNAs corresponding amino acid is attached (by aminoacyl-tRNA synthetases). tRNAs cope with the degeneracy of the genetic code in two manners: having more than one tRNA (with a specific anti-codon) for a particular amino acid; and 'wobble' base-pairing, i.e. permitting non-standard base-pairing at the 3rd anti-codon position. NCBI's taxonomy places the organism in Eukaryota, Metazoa, Arthropoda, Insecta, Diptera, Culicidae. The record is from Rfam.
GGGUCAGUGGCGCAGGGGUAGCGGCUUCGGCUGCCGAUCCCGAUGAUGCUAUGAGACGCGGGUUCGAUUCCCGCCUUAUCCA